This 427-nucleotide ribosomal RNA is filed under the name uncultured bacterium. Its description in RNAcentral is "bacterial SSU rRNA". It matches the Rfam family "Bacterial small subunit ribosomal RNA", at positions 354 to 796 of the family's 1533-position model. The record is from RNAcentral.
GUGAGGAAUAUUGCACAAUGGGCGAAAGCCUGAUGCAGCAACGCCGCGUGAGGGACGAAGGCCUUCGGGUUGUAAACCUCUUUUCUGGGGGAAGAGAUCAGGACGGUACCUCAGGAAUAAGUCUCGGCUAACUACGUGCCAGCAGCCGCGGUAAAACGUAGGAGGCGAGCGUUAUCCGGAUUUACUGGGCGUAAAGCGCACGCAGGCGGCUUCGUUAGUCGGACGUGAAAGCUCCUGGCUUAACUGGGAGAGGCCGUUCGAUACUGCGAGGCUUGAGGUUGGGAGAGGGGUGUGGAAUUCCCGGUGUAGUGGUGGAAUGCGUAGAUAUCGGGAGGAACACCUGUGGCGAAAGCGGCACCCUGGCCCACACCUGACGCUGAGGUGCGAAAGCGUGGGUAGCAAACAGGAUUAGAUACCCCAGUAGUCC